This 492-nucleotide ribosomal RNA is filed under the name uncultured bacterium. RNAcentral's name for it is "partial 16S ribosomal RNA". It matches the Rfam family "Bacterial small subunit ribosomal RNA", at positions 29 to 507 of the family's 1533-position model. The record is from RNAcentral.
AGUGAACGCUGGCGGUAGGCCUAACACAUGCAAGUCGAACGGCAGCACAGUAAGAGCUUGCUCUUACGGGUGGCGAGUGGCGGACGGGUGAGGAAUACAUCGGAAUCUACUUUUUCGUGGGGGAUAACGUAGGGAAACUUACGCUAAUACCGCAUACGACCUACGGGUGAAAGCAGGGGAUCUUCGGUCCUUGCGCGAUUGAAUGAGCCGAUGUCGGAUUAGCUAGUUGGCGGGGUAAAGGCCCACCAAGGCGACGAUCCGUAGCUGGUCUGAGAGGAUGAUCAGCCGCACUGGAACUGAGACACGGUCCAGACUCCUACGGGAGGCAGCAGUGGGGAAUAUUGGACAAUGGGCGCAAGCCUGAUCCAGCCAUACCGCGUGGGUGAAGAAGGCCUUCGGGUUGUAAAGCCCUUUUGUUGGGAAAGAAAAGCAGCAGGUUAAUACCCCGCUGUUCUGACGGUACCCAAAGAAUAAGCACCGGCUAACUUCGUG